AUGUUAGCGGCGGACGGGUGAGUAACACGUGGGUAACCUGCCUGUAAGACUGGGAUAACUCCGGGAAACCGGGGCUAAUACCGGAUGGUUGUUUGAACCGCAUGGUUCAGACAUAAAAGGUGGCUUCGGCUACCACUUACAGAUGGACCCGCGGCGCAUUAGCUAGUUGGUGAGGUAACGGCUCACCAAGGCGACGAUGCGUAGCCGACCUGAGAGGGUGAUCGGCCACACUGGGACUGAGACACGGCCCAGACUCCUACGGGAGGCAGCAGUAGGGAAUCUUCCGCAAUGGACGAAAGUCUGACGGAGCAACGCCGCGUGAGUGAUGAAGGUUUUCGGAUCGUAAAGCUCUGUUGUUAGGGAAGAACAAGUGCCGUUCAAAUAGGGCGGCACCUUGACGGUACCUAACCAGAAAGCCACGGCUAACUACGUGCCAGCAGCCGCGGUAAUACGUAUGUGGCAAGCGUUGUCCGGAAUUAUUGGGCGUAAAGGGCUCGCAGGCGGUUUCUUAAGUCUGAUGUGAAAGCCCCCGGCUCAACCGGGGAGGGUCAUUGGAAACUGGGGAACUUGAGUGCAGAAGAGGAGAGUGGAAUUCCACGUGUAGCGGUGAAUGCGUAGAGAUGUGGAGGAACACCAGUGGCGAAUGCGACUCUCUGGUCUGUAACUGACGCUGAGGAGCGAAAGCGUUGGGGAGCGAACAGGAUUAGAUACCCUGGUAGU
Molecule: ribosomal RNA, 720 nt
Filed under: Bacillus velezensis
Lineage: Bacteria; Bacillati; Bacillota; Bacilli; Caryophanales; Bacillaceae
Description: bacterial SSU rRNA
Rfam family: Bacterial small subunit ribosomal RNA
Source: RNAcentral